ACGAGCGAGUGCUUAAAACUCAAAGAACUUGGCGGCUUGUUAACUACCUAGGGGAAUAUGCGCCUUAAUCCGAUGGUCCCCGUAACAUCUUACUGGAUCUUGAAAAAGUGCAGUUGGUGUAUUGCCGUUGUCAGCUUGUUGUUCGAGCAAGGAAAAACAGGCUUAAUGGGUCUCUAGUGAUUAGGGUCACGAGAAUCCGCGAAUUCAGGUCGUAAUGCUGCCUACGGUCCAAGGGAGUGGGUAUUACAAUUUAUAUUUAAAAUUACGGAUCUUUAUUGUGAAACUUUAGGGAAGAAGGUGAACUUAGGAGUAA
Molecule: ribosomal RNA, 313 nt
Filed under: Nodipecten subnodosus
Lineage: Eukaryota; Metazoa; Mollusca; Bivalvia; Pectinida; Pectinidae
Description: partial 12S ribosomal RNA
Rfam family: Bacterial small subunit ribosomal RNA
Source: RNAcentral